RNAcentral lists this long non-coding RNA (4397 nucleotides) under Linum usitatissimum (flax). RNAcentral describes it as "long non-coding RNA (LUSI_LNC004068)". Lineage: Eukaryota; Viridiplantae; Streptophyta; Magnoliopsida; Malpighiales; Linaceae. The record is from RNAcentral.
UUCUCAUUGCGCCCUAUGAACUCUACACACAAGUUCUUGGCUUUAUAAGAAACGGUGGCCGACAUAAUGGUCCCAUUCGCGUAACUCCGCCACAUCUUGUUGGCAACAGACUUGAUGGAAUUGAUAUUAAUGCCAACGUGGCCACGAGGUAAGCUGUCGCAACAAGGGUUAUAAAAGGUAUCGAACUCUACCGCCACGAAGGGAUUCCCCUUCGAAUUGAACAUGUGCUCAGUGGCUACCAGGCCUAAAAGGCCAUGUGAUGCAUUGACGGUGGGAGUGGUGUAAUUGAUGGAGGCGAGGAAGAAGGCUAUACCGUCACAGGAAUAGGUGCCGUUGUCGUUGUCCAUUGAGAAGGAGAAUGUGGUAGUGAAAUUGGUAAGGUUGCCAGUGGAGGCGUCCCAUAGGCGCAUUGGUUUGGAGUAAUGUACCUGCCCUGUUUGGAAGUAGUGGGAUUUGGUGAGUUGGACCCCUGAAUGCCCGCAAGCUGCGGUUUCAAAGAAUUUGAGGGAGUCGCCGCACUUGUCGAAGUUGGAGUAGUUGAAGGACAACGGAGCCGUUUCACAUAUUGAGAUGACGAGGGACCAUAUAAAAACGGUGAUGAUACUGACGAUCAUGUUUGCUCCUACUUCCAUUCUGUAUACUUGUUCUCUCUUUAGAAUAUAAGAUAGGCUAGCUGCAGGUUGUAUACAUAAAUUACUCAGUUUAUUUUUCUUACGAUUGAAACAUUAUCCAAACCAGGCUAAAGCUCAAAAUCUGGCCGAAUUCGUAACCCGAUUAGCCUUUCUCUUGUAGAUCCAACCACACUCACAAUUCUUAAGGACAAAUCGACCCAAUACCAAAGGCAUAAGUAUAUAUAAUUCCAAACUUAGAGCUUCAUUGGGCACGUGGAAUGUCUUCGGUGGAAUUUAGACGGUAAUAGAAAAGUUUGCUUUUUAAAUUUUUUUUAUGUUAGUACCUAACAACAUUUGUUCAAUUUCCAGUCUCAGCUGUAGAAAUUGUCAGUAUGAAACCGGAAACGAAUUAAAUGCAAGUUAACAUAUAACAAGUGAAGUGAUGAAGCUACUUGGUGGGAAGAUUUAUGUAUGGUAACAGUAGAGUAGAGUACCUGGAAAUUGGAAUUAAGAGUAUCCCGAGACAGAGAUCAGAUGAUGAGAGCAAGUUGACCAAGAAUGUUGACCGGCGUUGAGGGUAUGGCUGAACUCUGAAGUGGGAGGUCGGUGAAGAGCAAUUAAAUUGAUGGCUUGGUUUACUUCAGUUUGGGUAGAAAGGAAAGAGAAGCAAAUAUAAAUAUGAGAUUUUGAAGUGAAGCUUCUGCGAAGAAUGCUAGCAGCAGCAGCUGCUUUAGGAAAAGUAAGGGAGCCAUCGUAAUAGAUUAGUCGUUGACUGGUUGAUAGAAAUGAAUUGGCAGGUGGCGAUGAUAAUGGCCACAAACACCAGUUUGGCUAUUUAGCGGAUAGACAGAUCAAUAUUCAAUAGGUUGGAAUUGAUAGAAUUCUGACCGUUAAAUCAGCUGACUUUUAGGAAAAAUUAUACCUAACGGUUGAAAACAUAUUACCAGUACUUCAUAUGUGAAAAAUGAGUUAGGCCGUUUGUUUGUUGGUUUAAAUUUGAGCUGUUAAAAUGUCUUUUUUUUUAAAUUGAUUUAAUUUAAGAGUUUAAAAUUUUAUUUGUCACUUAACAUCAUUUCAAUUAAUAUUAAGUCACGUUCAUUUUUAUUGGUCAAUUAUGAUGUUUAACUUUUCGAUGCAGAAGUCCAACAACGACAAGUCCCAUGGAAGAUGAACUCCCUCAUCUUCUUGAGUUCUCCGGCGGCGAUUGGAUCGAAAGAAGAGAGAUGGCGGUGGGCGGAAGAUUUUGCAGGAUGUAAACCCAAUCCACAGAUCCACUGAUCUAAUCGCUGGCGAGUCCCCUGGUCCUGCUACGAUUUUUCUUCUCAUUGGAUUGGUGUUCCCUCCAUCCUCUAUUUCAAGUUUCCCAUGAGGUUGGAUAUUGGUUGUCGUACCUUCCUCUCUCUCUCUUUUCUCUGCUGAUCCCCUCUUGCUCGCUUCUCAUCCGACCACCACAAAGACAAACAGCAGAUCGGAAGAGCAGAUCGGAAGAGAGAUCCGAAGAUGGUCUUGAGCGAGAAUGAAGGAGUAUCCGCCGGCCAACAGAUGAUGGUGAUAAAAUGAAUGCACCCCUCUUGCUCCGACCAUCACAGAAACAGCAGAUAGGAAGAGAGAUCUGAAGAUGGUCUUGAGAGAGUAGUAUCCGCCUGCCGAGUGACGACGAUACGGAUUUUCUCCAGGGCUCCGUUGAUCCAGUGGCGACGAGGGCCUCUGUGAUUCUCAGCCUUCAACUCUCUGGAUUUUCCUUCUUUCUGGUGAUUUCUGAUACGGAAGAACGGAGGACGGAACGGAACCUAACUGCCUAUGGAUUUAGCUAAGAGCAAGGGGGAAGGAGAUCCCCCAAGGCCGAAAACCAACUCCAAGCUCCAUGGUACCACCAUUGUAAAACUCAGCUCUAGCUUAUCGGUCUAUGAGUAUUUUGUUUGCGUGAUUUUGUGGCGCGGUUAUUUGUUAAUUUUUUUUACUAAUGAUGCUAAUUCUCAUGCUUAGAUUUUGGAUUUCCUGACAUUUUGUGCACAAUAGUUAUUUGGGGAGAUUGAGUUUCCUUAGCUGCAUCGUCUAAUUUUAUAGGGCAUCUUUUGUAACUCUUAUGAUGCAGGUUUGUGAGUCUUAGUCGUUGAGUCAUGUUUGGGGUAUUUCUGGGUAAGCUUUGGGUAUGGGUGUUGAUCAUUUGGUUUGGUGUGUUUAGGGUCAGAAGGAGGUUGUCUAGGUGUUGAUUGUGGUAGCUAUUCGAUUUAACCUUAGCUGAGUUUGGUUUAAUUUUGGCUGGAUUUGGUGUGAUAAAUGUUCUUAUGAUUUUCAUUAUCAAGCCUCCAAAAUUAAUUAUAGUAAAGUAUGAUAAGAUGAUUAAAUAAAUAUAUUAUCUUUAUUUUUAUAAAGAUUAUAUAAAACCUUAUCUUCUUGUAAUAAUUUAUCAAGAAAAAACAAAUAAAAAAAACAAAGGAAGGCCCAAGCCAUCCUAAUAAACAAGAAUAAGAAAUAGUUCUCUGCAACUACACAUAUCUCUUUCGGCCAAUACUAUCUUACUUUACAACUCAAUCACCCAAUUCAUUCCUUUCUAUACAUUCAUAACCCAACUUUUGGUCCUUACAAACUAGUCACUAAAUUAUUCCAACAAGCCUAUGUUUUAAUUCCGUAUAGCAAAAGCAAAGCAUUGCUAUUGAUUCUAGUUCAAUGCAUAUAAUUACUUAAUUUUGUGCAUCAUUAAGAAUUCACGGUAUGAAUGACAAUAAACAGUAACCAUGAAACUAUAUAUUAUUAGUUUCUCCGGGUAUAGUGUUAUGAAAACAGUGAUUACGACUAAGGAACCACAGUUAAAAGUAAUAAAGAACAAGCUUAUAAAAUGUGCUAUUUAGUCACUUUCCCUAGAGUAACCGAACGGCCCUUUCUUGUAGUGAGGAAACCGCCUGGGGAUCGGCAUCCCGAAUCAGAACGAUACUCGUGUGUUGGCUUCUUAUUGUAUCGAGAAUAAAUUGCCGUACCGGCCAAUAUAAGUAUUGCAAAACCACCAAUUAUUCCGGCCGCCAAUCCAAUAAUCACGCUCUUGUUGCUUUUCUUGCCUUCCAAUUUGUCUAGGCUGGGACCACCUUCCGAGUCUAACUCGGAGUAAAACGUCCACAUCUUGAGCGUCUGAGUCUGGUAUUUUUGCCCCGUUGAUCCGGAGAAGCCGAAUAAAGCCCACUCGGUCAGAUAAUCCUUCAAAUCCAAUUCGUAGCAUAGUGUAUUCCCGUGAACAUCAAUCGUCACUGUUUGUUCUUUGCCAGGUGCCGUCUUCUCAUUGAGCCCUAUGAACUCUACACACAGGUUCUUGGCUUUGUAAGACACGGUGGCUGACAUGAUGGUCCUAUUCGCGUAGCUCUGCCACAUCUUGUUGGCGACAGACUUGAUGGAAUUGAUAUUAAUGCCAACGUGGCCACGAGGUAAGCUGUCGCAACAAGGGUUAUAAAAGGUAUCGAACUCUACCGCCACGAAGGGAUUCCCCUUCGAAUUGAACAUGUGCUCAGUGGCUACCAGGCCUAAAAGGCCAUGUGAUGCAUUGACGGUGGGAGUGGUGUAAUUGAUGGAGGCGAGGAAGAAGGCUAUACCGUCACAGGAAUAGGUGCCGUUGUCGUUGUCCAUUGAGAAGGAGAAUGUGGUAGUGAAAUUGGUAAGGUUGCCAGUGGAGGCGUCCCAUAGGCGCAUUGGUUUGGAGUAAUGGACCUGCCCUGUUACGGAGUAGUCAGAGUUGGUGAGUUCUAGCCCUGAAUCUCCGCAAGCUGCGGUUUCAAAGAAUUUGAGGGAGUCGCCGCA